CAAGUAAUAAGUACUCUGUACUCAUUAUAAACCCAUCUGUGUAUCUUACCCGUUGCUUCCGUGGCGCGCGACCGCCUCGGCUCCGGCUCUGGUGGCCCCCACGGGAGGUAUACAUCAAACCACUGCAUUGCCAUGAUCUCAGUCUGAAAUGUAAACAUGAAAAGUUA
RNAcentral lists this unclassified non-coding RNA (167 nucleotides) under uncultured Pyronemataceae. RNAcentral describes it as "sequence contains ITS1". The record is from RNAcentral. Lineage: Eukaryota; Fungi; Ascomycota; Pezizomycetes; Pezizales; Pyronemataceae.